GCUGGGAUAGCUCAGCUGGUAGAGCAUCUCCAUGGUAAGGAGAAGGUCGCGGGUUCGAUUCCCGUUCCCAGCU
This 73-nucleotide transfer RNA is filed under the name Elusimicrobiota bacterium. RNAcentral describes it as "Elusimicrobia bacterium tRNA-Thr". It matches the Rfam family "tRNA". From Rfam's summary of the family: Transfer RNA (tRNA) molecules are approximately 80 nucleotides in length. Their secondary structure includes four short double-helical elements and three loops (D, anti-codon, and T loops). Lineage: Bacteria; Pseudomonadati; Elusimicrobiota. The record is from RNAcentral.